Molecule: ribosomal RNA, 405 nt
Filed under: uncultured prokaryote
Also listed under: 1 other name
Description: bacterial SSU rRNA
Rfam family: Bacterial small subunit ribosomal RNA
Source: RNAcentral
UGGGGAAUAUUGCGCAAUGGGGGAAACCCUGAUGCAGCAACGCCGCGUGAAGGAUGAAGGUUUUCGGAUCGUAAACUUCUUUGACCGGGGACGAACAAAGACGGUACCCGGAAAACAAGCCACGGCUAACUACGUGCCAGCAGCCGCGGUAAUACGUAGGUGGCGAGCGUUGUCCGGAAUUACUGGGUGUAAAGGGCGUGUAGGCGGGAAAGCAAGUCAGAUGUGAAAUACCGGGGCUUAACUCCGGGGCUGCAUCUGAAACUGUUUUUCUUGAGUGUCGGAGAGGAAAGCGGAAUUCCUAGUGUAGCGGUGAAAUGCGUAGAUAUUAGGAGGAACACCAGUGGCGAAGGCGGCUUUCUGGACGACAACUGACGCUGAGGCGCGAAAGCGUGGGGAGCAAACAGG